This 437-nucleotide long non-coding RNA is filed under the name Elaeis guineensis (African oil palm). Its description in RNAcentral is "long non-coding RNA (EGUI_LNC041188)". The record is from RNAcentral. Lineage: Eukaryota; Viridiplantae; Streptophyta; Magnoliopsida; Arecales; Arecaceae.
CUAACAUGAGCAAAGUCAAAGGCCCGAUUCUUUUAGACCGGAUGGGGGGAGAGGCCCUACAACGCCCUUACGCGCCCCCACAGCCAUGUUAGGGACAGGAGGAGAACCUCACCCUAACGUGAGCAAAGUCAAAGGCCCGGUUCUUUUAGACCGGAUGGGGGGAGAGGCCCUACAACACCCUUAUGCACCCCCACGGCCACGUCAGGGACAGGAGGAGGACAUCGCCCUAACGUGAGCAAAGUCGAAGGCCCGAUUCCUCUUAGAUCAGAUGGAGGGAGAGGCCAAACAGCGCCCACAUGUGCCCCCACAGCCUUGUUAGGGACAUGAGGAGAACCUCGCCCUAACAUGAGCAAAGUCGAAGGCUCGGUUCUUUUAGACCGGAUGGGGGGAGAGGCCCUUGCGACGACCCUUAUGUGCCCCCACAGCCCCGUUGGGAA